ACCUUUGUGGUGUAGUGGCAGCACACUCGACGCGUAACCAAGAGGUCCGUGGUUCGAUUCCCAGCGAAGGCG
RNAcentral lists this transfer RNA (72 nucleotides) under Stegodyphus mimosarum. It matches the Rfam family "tRNA". Rfam says of the family: Transfer RNA (tRNA) molecules are approximately 80 nucleotides in length. Their secondary structure includes four short double-helical elements and three loops (D, anti-codon, and T loops). The record is from Rfam by way of RNAcentral. Lineage: Eukaryota; Metazoa; Arthropoda; Arachnida; Araneae; Eresidae.